This 1435-nucleotide long non-coding RNA is filed under the name Marmota monax (woodchuck). The record is from RNAcentral. Lineage: Eukaryota; Metazoa; Chordata; Mammalia; Rodentia; Sciuridae.
GUAUAGUUUACACUCUCAACAAAGGGAAACUGUUUUCUUUUCUUGACCUUUAUAUAAUCUUCAAGUAAAUGGAAAAUUGUAGUUCUUAAUCAUUACUUGGACAAAAGUCAUACAAGCAAGUAUUAUUUAUGGUGUUAAUUUCCUAGAAGAUAUGUUGCAGUGGGAUAAUUUACCCUGUGAAGAAAAAGCUGUGGUUGCCUAGGAAUCAUGGCCACUUUCAGGCUGUAGAAAUGGAUGGUGCCCAGUGUUACAAAUAUAAUUUUUCCUGUUAUAAUCUGGUUCCAGGUUGACUAGAUGUCAGAUAAAGGGAGAAAAGCAAGCAGAAUGUCUCCUCUGAUAAACCCACAUUAAUUAGUGUUGUGGACCAAUCAUCAGCACUCUUCACUCUAAUCUUUGCCAAUGUCAGCUGCUCUAAGUCCUGAAUACUCAUGAGACAUUGGAUUCCUUCUGGAGACAGUAUUAACUUGCUUUCCUCUUUAUCAGCAUAAUGUAGAAAUUGAAAAAGGGAUUCUAUUUUGAUAUCUAUCAUACCAAUGGUCAAGUGAAGUGAGAGAGAAAAUGACAAAUUCAUUUAUUUAAGCUAAUACAUGCAGUUCCUAAAGUCACAGAAAAGAGAUCAAAAGCAAGAUAGUCAUGUCUUAGUUAAAGAAGUUCCAGUGAAGGUCCUAUAGAAGCUCACUGUAAGUGUUUAAUGAGAUCCUUGAUGGAGAUCAAAAAGAACUACUUAAAAGAGAUUUUCAACCCAAAAUAGUCAGUGUUAUUUUUUUUAACUAUUUCUUUUGUGAAAAGCUAUCUAAGAGAGUUGUUCUAAAAACAACAGAAGCAAAAUGGAUGAACAAAACAAAUAUUUAAAUCCGAAAGGAACAACGUAAAAAUCAGAGUGAAGAUUCAUGCACUGAGCAAAUGGAUUAGAUAUUAGGAUACUGAAUGUUGAGAGAGUUAGGUGAAGGAGAAUAUAAAGGUGGUGAGGUGUUCUCCCCCAAUUAAGUAAGUGGUAUUCCUGUUCUAUGUUGUUGCAUUCAAUUUAGAAGUCAGAGUUGUGAUGGGCUUCUUAUCUGAGGUCUAGUUUAAUGAACAUGGCCAUGAAACCUAACUCCAACCUUCUACUCUUGGCUUUCACUCUGGUUAUGAUUUCCAUUAUUUUUGCUGCUGACCACUUCGUUUUUGCUUAUUUCAUUGAGUUCACUGAUUCCCCAGUUUCCUUGCCUGGUUGGUUUCCAUUGCCUUCUCUACUUGAUGCUUUUGUUCAUCUAUCUGAAUCUGAGCUUCCUCCAACUAUUGUGUAAAGAAGCUGAUACCCACUGACAAUGAAGGCUAUUUAGAUAACAGGUUAAGAGGAAAUUGAAUGUGUUUUAAGAUCCCUUUCACAAUCAGAAGGUGCUAGCCAUCUAUUCCUUAAAGUUCGAAAGCUGAAAUGCAUCUCUUGUAAUCUUUG